AGACAGUCGUGGCUUCGACCAGGGCCAUGUUUGACGGUACCUGAACCAGAAAAGCCCCGGCAAAUAAGUGCCAGCAGCCGUGGUAAUACGGUAGGGGGCGAGCGUUGUCCGGGACUUAUUGGGCGUAAAGGGCGCGCAGGCGGUCUUUUAAGUCUGAUGUGACAUCUCGCGGCUCAACCGCGAGCGGUCAUUGGAAACUGGGAGACUUGAGUACAGAAGAGGAGAGUGGAAUUCCACGUGUAGCGGUGAAAUGCGUAGAGAUGUGGAGGAACACCAGUGGCGAAGGCGACUCUCUGGUCUGUUACUGACGCUGAGGCGCGAAAGCGUGGGUAGCGAACAGGAUUAGAUACCCUGGUAGUCCACGCCGUAAACGUUGAGUGCUAGGUGUUAGGGGGUUUCCGCCCCUUUUGUGCUGAAGUUAACGCAUUAAGCACUCCGCCUGGGGAGUACGGCCGCAAGGCUGAAACUCAAAAGAAUUGACGGGGGCCCGCACAAGCGGUGGAGCAUGUGGUUUAAUUCGAAGCAACGCGAAGAACCUUACCAGGUCUUGACAUCCUCUGACAGCGGCAGAGAUGCCGUGUUCCCUUCGGGGACAGAGUGACAGGUGGUGCAUGGUUGUCGUCAGCUCGUGUCGUGAGAUGUUGGGUUAAGUCCCGUAACGAGCGCAACCCUUAAUCUUAGUUGCCAGCAUUAAGUUGGGCACUCUAAGGUGACUGCCGGUGACAAACCGGAGGAAGGCGGGGAUGACGUCAAAUCAUCAUGCCCCUUAUGACCUGGGCUACACACGUGCUACAAUGGAUGGAACAAAGGGACGCGAAGCGGCGACGUGAUAGCCAAUCCCACAAAACCAUUCCCAGUUCGGAUUGCAGGCUGCAACUCGCCUGUAUGAAGCCGGAAUCGCUAGUAAUCGCGGAUCAGAAUGCCGCGGUGAAUACGUUCCCGGGCCUUGUACACACUCUGCCCGUCUACAAGCACGCAGUAGUUGGCCUUUUACUUACCU
This 1000-nucleotide ribosomal RNA is filed under the name Lentibacillus halophilus. RNAcentral's name for it is "bacterial SSU rRNA". It matches the Rfam family "Bacterial small subunit ribosomal RNA", at positions 446 to 1441 of the family's 1533-position model. The record is from RNAcentral. Lineage: Bacteria; Bacillati; Bacillota; Bacilli; Caryophanales; Bacillaceae.